GCACAAGCGGUGGAUCAUGUUGUUAAUUCGAUGAUACGCGAAGAACCUUACCAGGUCUUGACAUCCCCGGCGAUGCUUUAGAGAUAAAGCGGAGGUAUUCGGGGAGACAGGUGGUGCAUGGUUGUCGUCAGCUCGUGUCGUGAGAUGUUGGGUUAAGUCCCGCAACGAGCGCAACCCUAUUGCUAGUUACCAUCAUUAAGUUGGGGACUCUAGCGAGACUGCCAGUGAUAAACUGGAGGAAGGUGGGGAUGACGUCAAAUCAUCAUGCCCCUUAUGACCUGGGCUACAAACGUGAUACAAUGGCUGGAACAAAGGGAUGCGAAGCAGUGAUGUGGAGCGAAGCCCAUAAAAACAGUCUCAGUUCGGAUUGAAGUCUGCAACUCGACUUCAUGAAGUCGGAAUCGCUAGUAAUCGCGGAUCAGAACGCCGCGGUGAAUACGUUCUCGGGGUUU
RNAcentral lists this ribosomal RNA (452 nucleotides) under uncultured Acholeplasma sp. RNAcentral's name for it is "bacterial SSU rRNA". It matches the Rfam family "Bacterial small subunit ribosomal RNA", at positions 923 to 1382 of the family's 1533-position model. Lineage: Bacteria; Bacillati; Mycoplasmatota; Mollicutes; Acholeplasmatales; Acholeplasmataceae. The record is from RNAcentral.